AUGGCGACUGGACGCGAGGCCGGCGAGGCGGCACCGGGGGAGGAGGAGGAGCAGAGGGAGUGGGCGGACCUGACGCCGGUGUGCCUGGCGGAGGCGUUCUCGCGGCUGGGCCUGGAGGACCAGUGGCGCGGCGCCAUGGCAUGCUGCCACUCCUGGCGGGCGGCCGCGCGCUCCCGGCCGGCGCUCUUCGCCGCGCUCGACCUCCGUUCGGCUUUCGAGGCCGUCGGCACCGACGCCACCGAGUGGUGGACGCCCGCCUUCCAGCGCCGCGUCGACGCCAUGCUCCGCUCCGCCGCCUCGCUCGCCACCGGGGAGCUCCAUGAGGUCCGGGUCCGGCACUGCUCCGACGACGCCCUCACAUUCGCCGCCAAGAGGUUCGUGCGACCUUAUUACAGUCCUCCUGCUGCUGCUCUGAAUCGUCCUUCCAGGCCUCACCCAUUCACCUGUAAACAUAAAUCCAAUGUAGAAAUCCAAAUGAGAUUCGUUCCAUGUAGGAAGGUUGCACAUCCUGCCUGUCACUUGCCACGCUGA
This 531-nucleotide ribosomal RNA is filed under the name Triticum aestivum (bread wheat). RNAcentral describes it as "partial small subunit ribosomal RNA". Lineage: Eukaryota; Viridiplantae; Streptophyta; Magnoliopsida; Poales; Poaceae. The record is from RNAcentral.